Molecule: non-coding RNA, 115 nt
Organism: Triticum aestivum (bread wheat)
Lineage: Eukaryota; Viridiplantae; Streptophyta; Magnoliopsida; Poales; Poaceae
Source: Rfam
UUUCUACUCCCUCCGUUCGAAAUUACUUGUCGUAGAAAUGGAUGUAUCUAGAUGUAUUUUAGUUCUAGAUACAUCCAUUUUCGAGACAAGUAACUCCAAACGGAGGGAGUACUUU